UGUUUAUAUACACUGUGUAACAGGACUACAACUCCAAUCAUCCUCAGUAUGUUUACAAACACUGUGUGGCAAGGACUACAACUCCCAUCAUCCUCAGUAUGUUUAUAUACACAGUGUGUGACAGGACUACAACUCCCAUCAUCCUCAGUAUGGUUAUACACACUGUGUGACAGGACUACAGCUCCCAUCAUCCUCAGUAUGUUUAUAUACACUGUAACAGGACUACAACUCCCAUCAUCCUCAGUAUGUUUACACAAUGUGUGACAAGUACUACAACUCCCAU
Pelobates cultripes (western spadefoot toad) is the source of this 283-nucleotide non-coding RNA. NCBI's taxonomy places the organism in Eukaryota, Metazoa, Chordata, Amphibia, Anura, Pelobatidae. The record is from the annotation of a GenBank genome assembly.